Molecule: non-coding RNA, 266 nt
Organism: Camellia sinensis
Lineage: Eukaryota; Viridiplantae; Streptophyta; Magnoliopsida; Ericales; Theaceae
Source: RefSeq, a predicted model, not a curated record
GUCUCAUGAAAGGUGUUAUUGUCAAGUUUUAUUUCAAUCCCAAUGAAAAUUUAUAUUACGUGGAAUUGAAAGGCCAACUGCUCAGUGGUUGGAGAACUACUUCCAGAAUAAGCUUUGAGAAGAAGCUCUCCGAAGAAGAUUUAACCGACAUGAAUAUACCACUGAUUCAUGAGAACAACCAGCCCGUCAUGGUUGUGUGGGAUCAAAAAGAUAUGCAGUGGAGGUUUCAGAUAGCAAUAGGUGGUGAUAAUGGUAAUAAAAAGAUG